Phyllostomus discolor (pale spear-nosed bat) is the source of this 8438-nucleotide long non-coding RNA. RefSeq lists it as uncharacterized. NCBI's taxonomy places the organism in Eukaryota, Metazoa, Chordata, Mammalia, Chiroptera, Phyllostomidae. The record is from RefSeq and is a predicted model, not a curated record. The transcript is spliced from 2 exons.
UUACAUCCAGAAUGCCUGCCUAUAUCUGAACAUAAAUAUUUGUGUAAUAAUAACAUAUAAGAAUAAUCUCUAUAUUUAAAUAUGCCAAAGUCUAAGGAUGAUGGAAAUACAUUGAAGCAGGCAUCCCAAAAGCUGGGGCCUCAAGCCCCGGCCAAACAGCCAAGAAAGGCUCUUCUUCUGGCGUUGCCUCAGGUAGAGUCGGCUUUCAGGCUGGCACGUUCCACUGCUCACUCACAGUUAGCUUUCAGUCAACACCAGAGUCUUUAUCCACACAGAUGGGAGUUGUCAUAUUUUUCCCAUUUUAUCUUUUGUAGUUGAUUUUUUAAAAUUAAAAGCAGACAACUAUAUUGUUACCUGUAUUAAAUUUUUAUCUAGUAGACACAGCAUUAUACUUUGGCCUGUCCAGAUAUUUUAAGCCCGUCAGAGUAUUCCUUGUCUCUUCCAAUGCCCACCAGCUGGAGACCCAUUUGGUAUUUUAUCAGUAUCACAUCCGAAUUACUGGUAAACUGCUGAUCAAAACACAUCACAGAAAGUGCCCUACAGUGGCUACUAAGCCCUUCUGGUUGAAAUUCUUCCGUUCAUGAGCACUUACUGAUGGUCAAAAGUCAAAAAAGACUUUAAACCAGUCAUUUAACCAUUUAGCUGCACUGUUGCAGCCCACAUUUCUCAAGGAUGUUUUGGGACUUUGUUAAAUGUCUUGCUAAAAUCCAAAUACAUUCAUUCUUUUGACCAAAUUCUCAUGAUUUCCUGUUACUUAUUCUAAGUGGAUCUGUGCUGCCUCUUGGAGAUCACUGCUUCACUUCUAAGUGCUUAUAAACCACUAAAGUAGGUUAUAUGCUUUUCUAAAAUUUUGCUCAGGAUUGAUAAAUUCAGUGGUCUAGGAUUUAAAGACAGGCUCUAACACACAAACCUUUGCAGCCAUGCACCUGCCUGAUCUUCCUACAUUAUUGGGUUGGUUGGACCCAAAGCAUAGCCCAACCUAAUUCAAGCACACAUGCAUCUAGUUCCUGCUGAGGUCCUGUGACAUGUGGGACACUUGCUAGAGGCUGUGAGCAUCUGAUCACGUUCCCUGAGCAGGAAGUGUGUUGGUAGCUGGGGCAGAGAGAGUGUGGGGCACCAUUUCAUAUGGCAUAGAAAGAGGCUGAAUGAUCAAAUGGAGAGGCGGGUGGUCCAUUGCAGAGUCAAGUCCAACCCACAGCAGGCCCAUGCCAGACUUUCAAAUCCAAAGGAGGCCACCCAGAAAGCAGAGCAAGUACAAACAAGUUGAAACAUCGGGGAGCCACGAGGAGCAGAGCUGAAUGAGAGGGUGGGUCAGGAGUAACUCCUGAGUCAGCUCUAUCUUGCUUCUAGCCAAUACUUGGCAUGACAGAGGGGGGGGCUGCCUGCCAGAAGGAAAUGAGAAGUUUAGUAAGAGUCAGUCCUGCUUAAAUGCCUGACAUUGUCAGCAUAAAAAGGAAAACUAUGUUGGCAUUAAAAUCCAUGCAUAUUUAUUUAGGUUAGAAUUUAGGAUAGUAAUACCCAAGUGUCUUCUGUAUGACAAGCACUGUUGUUUAUUAAUCCUCCUAACAGUGCCACUGUGAAGUAUGCCUAUGGUUCCUAUUUCACAGAUGAAGAAACCGAGGCCAUGCAAUUUGCAGAAAUUCACACAAUUAACAGGUGAGAUUUGAACUAGGCAAAUAUGACCCCAAAGUUGGUACUUGUAAUUCCUAUCCAUUACAGCCCCAUAGAAUGAAAAGGAAUUCUUUACAUAAAAUAAUUACUAUACUUCCUUGUCCAUGAUAAGGUGUGAAACAUCUUAACUAAACACCUUAUAUGCUCCUUCUUGGACCUUGUCAUCAGUUUCAGUGGCAAAGAGUUAAGCAGAGUUCAGCAGGAGGGCAGAAAAAAUAGGUUUUCUUAAUUUUCCAGGGCAAACCUUUAUAAUGUACCUUUAUGAUUUUUAUCACAGAAGAACUUUUAAACAAGUAAAUCCAAAGUUAAUAUAAAAAAUUCAAGGUGAAACACUUAACCCAUUUGGGUUAUCUGUAUUUUUGCUCCCAUUUAUUCUGAUAAGUUUUAACUGUUUAUCUAAAUGUGUACAUUUUUGUUAUAAUAAUGAGCUCUCAAUUCUCCCUCUGGCUACUUCUGGUUGUCUGUCUACUCCUUAUCUUCAUAAUAAGGACACUUUAUAGUUCUCUCUGCAAAUGGAGUGUCAUCUAACAGGGUGCUAAUGAUUUAUUUUGAAAGAGACAAUGUAUCUAAAAAUUAACUAGAUUAAAUCAGUCUUUACUUUCAUUUUAAAAGGAAAGUUUAUUCAUUCCUAAUGUUCCGUACACAUCUGUACUUGGAAAUUUCAUUUCAGACACAAAUGAAUAGAUUAUAUCUCCCAAAGCAAAAAGAUCUUGAUUAACUAAAACAGUACACAUUUACUUUAGCAUUAAGUCUGGCUGGCUAAUUCCACAGGAUCAAACAUUGCACUUAACUUGUGUCAGCUGGGAUCAGGGUAAAGGUAUUUCACGCGUCAUACAUUUUGCUUCAGCACACACUUAAUUCCCUAACAAUAUUCAAUUUCACAUUUAAAAAGCAAAUCAGUCAUUAAUUCCUUAACAAAUAUAAUAAAUGUCUACCUUUGAUUGAAAAGUUUCAAAUAAAAUAAUGAAACUACAGAUUUUUCAACAACCGCUUAGCUAAAUAAAUGUUGCCAAUAUAGGUUUAGACAGAUUACAAAACAAUACAGGUACACAUAAGUCACACAUUACAGCAUCUAAACUGGAAAAAUAUUACAGAAUGGUGGCAUGCAAGUAUUUUACAUUUUUAAAUGCAAUAAAGAAUGCUCAUUUGUUUCCCUUGAAUAGAUGAAACAGAAUUAAGAUAAAGGCUUAAUUAAAAUAUAAAUAUUCCAUGUGGAGUUGUAUUUUUUUGGGAAAAAAAAAACACCAAAGUGGCAGAGAUAAAAAUUUUAGGUCAGAACAAUUUCUUUCUUAACUAAAGAUUGUCACUGGCAACAUUUGCUAAUAAAAUACAAUUUCUUAAAAUGCACAUUUCCUUCCAUCUCAUUUCAUCAUAUAGCCAGUUCCCAUCUACCCACAUUUAGAUUAUCCAUGGGGAAUUUUUAAUAGUGGGCCAGCUUCUCUCAACUGCACAUGUACUUCUGAUUGGCUUCUCUGUUAUCCAAUCAAUAUGCUCUCAGAAACACACACACACACACACACACACACACACACACACACACACACUCUGUCUCUCAAACCUUAAACAAAAACCUAUGAAAAACAUGCUGUUUACUGUGCUCAAGUUUCCUUCUCUGCAUUUCCCCCUUUCCACCGUCAACCCUGAGGAGAAAAAAUUAGGUAUUUAAAAAUAUCCUUUCAGAAAAGGCUGUUCCUCAAGAACUAUGCUGAAGAUGAACAGACAACUAACAGGGAAGUUCAGACCUGUUCCUCUGAACAAAAAUCUUCCGAAGAGAGAUGAAACUGCAAAGGAAACAUCUCAGAACCACGGGAUCGGAUCGUAAUGUUCGAGGAGCUGGGAAGGGCCUAGGAGAGCACCUACUCCACUCACUUCAUUCUCCGGAUGAAAUGAAGACAAGAUCGAUGGAAGUCUUGCCCAAAGCCACACACAGCUGAUAGCCAAAUCAGUAUUGUUUUCCAAAAAUACCACAUGGUGGCAAAUGGAGUUUUUUUUUUUUUUUGGAGCUGGAGGACAAUUUAAUUCAAGCAACAUUUAUUAAGCACCUAUUGUAUACAAGGCACCUUACUAGAUUCUACUGAGGGCACAAAGUUCGAUGAGAUAGUUGCUGCCUCCAAGUGCUUAUGAAAAGUCCCAUGAGGCCAUGUUUCAAGAUCUUUCUCCACAGAAAAUAAUACUGGGCAGGGCUAAGGUUGCUGGUGAUCACAAAACAGCUGCUGCCCAGGAGAGCUGCUAUCACAAGUGCACCCUGAAGACAGUCUUUCUCUUAGCCCUCUGUCACCCCUCGGGUCAUAGCCUGUCUCACCCUGAGAGGUGACAGAGCUGAUAGGAGGGCAGCAGUGCCCAGACCCUCUCCUCAAAUCACUGUUUCCUUCCCCCAGGUGUCCAGCCUUAGGCUCUCAGCAAGGGUCCUGACCGCAUCCCAAAGAACCACCAGAGUGACUCAGGAACACUCCCGACCACACACAUCACUGGGAUGUAACACCCACUGCCCCCACCAACCACCUGUCCUGUGUCAAUGUGAAAAAUGAAGUAAUUCCAGUCCCUGACGUCAUACUCAUGCCUCUAUUUGCCAUACUCAUUACUCAAAACAUGAGGAAGGUGUAAUUGUUGCUCAGAAGAAAACAGAUUCAAGAGGCAGUGGAAAACAUUAGUGAAGAGAUGAUAAAAAUGACCUCCCACUUUUGUAUAAUCCUGUCGAGUAUAGUAUUUUCAUCUUACUAUCUUAUUAUGCCCUCACCACAACUCUGUGAGGUAGUUAGUGAAGAUAUUAUUCCCAUUAUAAUAUAGCUGAAUAAGCUUGGACUUGAGAGGCUAAGUGGCUUGCCUCAAAGUCACCCAGCUAAGAAAGCAUGGAGCCAAGUGUCCAGGUUUCUUGACUCCAAAUCCAGUGCUCUUCCCCCUGUACAGUCUGUAACUGGCAGGCAAUUAAAUGAAUUGCCCAUGAUCGUAUACCUGCUAAGUGUUGGUGAUGGAAUUAGGAGUCAGUCUCUAAUCUGUCAGUAUGGUGCCCAUUCACCAUACCAACCAGCAAAGCCAGUGUGCUCAGAAUGACUGCCACGGACGAUACCAGAGAAAUUUCUAGCCUCCUUCACCUUCCCCCAAGUCAAUGAUGCAUCACAAAACUGGGACAACCUCUGGUACCCGUGCAGUCUUUCUAGAGCUGUACCCAGAGGCAGUUUCCCAGUUUAGGCCCUGGAACUCCACCUCCAUUCACCCACUGAAUAGUCAAUCACUGAUGUUAUCAGCAGUUGGGAAAGACAUAAGCUAAGCAGAGCUUACUUCUGCCAUUACGCAAGUUAAAACCUCUCAUUUCCAUCUUCCUUCUCCACCUCACUCAGCCUCUUCACUUUACCCAACUCCUGAACCACAAACAAAAUCCAAUCUAAUCCAGAGUUGGUAGCAAGAAACAAGGAAUCGUCCUGGGUUCUGGGUACUUUUUUCUUUCUAGUUUGUUGCAGGGGGGAUGGGGGUGGGGGGGUGGGGGUAGGGGGGAUGGUCAUGUGAUUUUCAUCCAGAGGGCUCAGCCUGACACUCCCAUCAUUCUCACACCUUCUCUUUGCAAGUGUCUCAGUCCUUUAGUUUUGAAGGUGGUACAGUAUGUGAUGGGGAGACUUGAAAUGAGGUACAACAAGGGAAAACUGCUACUGGAAGGCAGAGCUAAAACAUUUAAUCUUCGUUCUCUGCUCAUUAAAAUGAAAGUAGCUAUUACUACAUCAUUAGUGUACGAGAGGAAGGAACCUUCAGGAUCAUGACUUAAAACCUGAUUCCAGAAAGAGUUCCACUGAGUACAGGUAAUGUACCACAGAACCUAGUAUUCACAUCUUACUGCCCCUGCCCGUUUUUGCUGAUGCUAUAAAUACUUGCACUAAAGAUGGUGUCUGCUUUGUAAAAAGGCACUCUACCCUCAAAGUCCAAGAAACACGUAUCAAAUUAUAUCAAUCCAGAGCUUUGUACUUCCUCUGUCUCCUUCACAGUGACUAAGAGAGGGCUAAGUACAUCAUGGUCACGAAAAAGGAAAAUAUCUGCAAGCUCUUUUGUGAAUUUAAAGGGCCACCUUACAUUUACAGCAUGCUGAUGCUUACUCAACACCAGGUUUCAAGUGUGAGGGGCUGAAAGGUUCUCGUGGCAGUUACUCAGAGCACACUGGUUUCCCUAAGUGCUGGUGCCCUGCCAGGGACCACAUUUCUGUCUGGAAGAGAAGCUGCUGUUGUUUCUACCUGGAGUGCUGGCCUUCCCUUAGGGAAACUGUUUUGAGGAACAUAGGCAUUUGGGAUUUCUGAAUUUUGAAAUGGAGAUGGGCUUUUACUGUGCAAUGAACUGUGCACUCUCAGACAGGUGAGCUGCACAUGCCCCUCCAGGUUAGUGACUCUCGCCUAAUGGAGGCCUGUAGCAAUGCUGAAAGGGGUAUAAGGGAAGUGGGACUAGGAGACAGCAUCUCCCUUCAAUCAGUUGUCCAGGUUUAGCCAAAUAGCUUCCUCCAGUAUUUGGCGAUCUUUAUGUACAAAAUAUGUAUACACAUUUGUAUGGUAUACCCUAACACAGAUGGAAGGACGGGGCUGGAUUGCGUUGAUGAAGAUGAAAGAGCUUCUACUUAUACACUUUAGGCAUAUGGAGAGAUUUGGGGCUGAAACAAUGAAAUGAUUUCAAGGUUUCUAAUAUUUAUUCACUAAGGUUACUGUCCAUACAUGCUAUAAAAUUUGGUGGUUGGCAAACUUAAAGUCCAGGGAGUGACUUCACAUUAACCUGGGCCUGCAGCAACUCUAAAAAUGACAAGGGACAUGGAGCUGGGGAGAGAGCACGCCCUUCCAUCAGAUGUCCAGAUGUAGCCAAAUACCCAGUUAGAUAUUAGUUAGAUAUUUGGCCACACACACACACACACACACACACACACACACAUUUAUUUACAUGAGGCCCUACAGAGAUGAAAGGGAUUUAAUCAUGCUGAUGACGAUGAAACAGCUUCCAUUACACACUUCCAUAAGAUGGGGGAUGCACUGCUGGACUACUGACACGACCUCCAGACUUCCAGAAUUCAUCUCCGAAAAGCCACCUUUCAGGAGUCAUGUGAUACAAAGCUGCAGGCCCAGGAGAGUGAUCAUGACCUGAUAUGGGCCUGUACAGGUCUACAAGAGGGAAGGAGGUGGCCUGAGGAGAGAUUAUCUCCCUUCAAUCAGAUGUCCAGAUGUCGCCAAAUAUCUCAACAUAGUAUUUGGCAAGACGUAGAUGUAUAAAAAUAUUUUAUAUACAUUAUGCACCACCAUGAUCAUGAAUGAGCUUCUACGUGCCCACUUUGGGCAGAUGGAGAGAUGAAGUCCUAGGCUAAUUAAGUUAUUUAUAGGAUCCCAAAAUGUAAGUUUAUUUUCUAAUAGUUAUCUUUAACAUAAGGAUACUCAUGUGAAUACUCAUGAAAAUGUCACCUUUCAAGCUACUUUUAAAACACAGGUAAUACUAAGAUAAAAUGAUUAGUAAUAAAUAUUUGAUUUCAUAGACUCUAUUACAUGUAACCCAACUAUUUUACAAGCUGAAAUAGUGCUAAAUUUUGAUAAUACCCCAUUAUCUUACUUUAAUACUAUCAACAACUGCAGCACAGUUACAAUCAAAUUCUGAUUUUUUUCUUUCUUGCUUUUGCCAGCGUUUAUCAGAAGCUGCUUCAGCCCCCAGUCUACAUACAGCACUUGGGGGCCGCAGAAGACACUCUGUAGAAUCCAAGAUUUCUUUGGGGUAAAGGUAAGAAAGACAGUGAAUGAGAAAAGAAAGGAAAAAGCCUUACUAGAAGGGGCAUGCCAGGGACUCAGCACUUAAAUAUAUCUGCAUUGAAUCUAAAAUGAUAGGAGAGAGACUGAGAAAUGUUUUCCCCUUUGGCAACAUGGUAACCAAAACUUAUGUACACUCCAAAAAAUUGUAUACGUUGCUGAUGAAUGUUUAUAAACCAGCAACCUAGUGGAGAAAAGCCCUGAUUUAUAAUAUUUGAUAACUUCCUUGGUAUAAAUACUCCCACCAGGGCCAAUUCCAAACCAGCAACAAGAGGCCCCGAACUUGAGGUUGGAAGAGGUGUGAACCGCACACCAUCACACAGUGUCUGCCACACAGACACAACAGGGCCAGCACUUUUGGGAGCCCAGAAAGCAGUAAAAUCUUUGAGCACUACUUUUGUUUCUAAUACAACAUAUUUAACUGUAAGUGUAUGUCAUUUAAUUGUUAUAAUGGCUGUGUUCAACAAUAUGCAAAAUUCUUGAAAAUUUAAUCAUCAGUCAUCCUGUAUAAGUUGGCUCCAACCUUCCACAGCUAAGUGAUUAGAAGGGAAGGUAAAAAUCAGACUGAAAACCAUUAAAUAAUAUGCACUGUACUUUUUCUAUAGAUAGGGAGAUGUAGUAAAAAAACAACAACCUAAAGACUUCAGAGUUCUAAAAAUGUCAACAUGUUCUGCUCAUUAGUCCCUCACAAAAAAAGUAAAACAUUCUCAAGAAAAUGAGAUGUUUCAAAGGAUUUUAGAGCUACAGAUGUGACUACUUGAAAUACAGGUAAAGGUCUAAUUUGAGAAAGGCUGCCUAUCCUAAACGAUUUCCAUGUGCUUUACAAACUAACUAGAAUAAUAUGUGAAUUGUUUUACGUUAACUGGUUGUACUGCUCUCAAGCAACUCUGGGAACACUCAAUUAUUAAACAGAUCCUGGACUGGACCCACCUUCUGCCGGAAUCAGCACCUCUCUAGCUCCAGGUGUUGCCAGCACAAGGGAAGCCAACUUUGCCAAGGCUCAAAUUACAGAGG